GAGCUGGGUUUAGAACGUCGUGAGACAGUUCGGUCCCUAUCUGCCGUGGGUGUAGGAGAAUUGAAAGGAUCUGUCCCUAGUACGAGAGGACCGGGAUGGACGCACCUCUGGUGGACCUGUUGUCGCGCCAGCGGCAUAGCAGGGUAGCUAAGUGCGGACAGGAUAACCGCUGAAUGCAUCUAAGCGGGAAGCCCCCCUCAAAACCAGGUCUCGCUGAGAACCGUGGUAGACCACCACGUCGAUAGGCCAGGUGUGGAAGCGUGGUAACAUGUGAAGCUAACUGGUACUAAUCGUUCGAUCGGCUUGAU
Molecule: ribosomal RNA, 308 nt
Filed under: Prasinoderma singulare
Lineage: Eukaryota; Viridiplantae; Prasinodermophyta; Prasinodermophyceae; Prasinodermales; Prasinodermaceae
Description: partial Bacterial large subunit ribosomal RNA
Rfam family: Bacterial large subunit ribosomal RNA
Source: RNAcentral